GCAGCCGAACCACCAGUGUGCCGUCGGCCUGGGGAAUGCCGGCGUGGCCGUAUCCACCUGUUAAAGAGAACGCAGGUAUCUCUGUGUCGAGCGCUGUGACCUGCGAACCGGCCACGGUUACUUUUGUGUCUUCCCUGGAGGCGCUGUCAACAAACGAACAAACAAACAAACAAUCAGAAUCAAGUGCGACAGGCACUUAACUGGCUCCAUUGUCCAUUUUGAAGAGCGCGUUGCGUGGGCGAGGAGCCACUGCCUCGAGGCUGUUCCCGCUUCCGCCUGUGCCACACCCACCACGCAAGCAUAGCUACUUGAAACUUGUG
This 320-nucleotide small RNA is filed under the name Drosophila virilis. Its description in RNAcentral is "GJ27126". Lineage: Eukaryota; Metazoa; Arthropoda; Insecta; Diptera; Drosophilidae. The record is from RNAcentral.